RNAcentral lists this long non-coding RNA (2774 nucleotides) under Zea mays. Its description in RNAcentral is "long non-coding RNA (ZMAY_LNC002696)". Lineage: Eukaryota; Viridiplantae; Streptophyta; Magnoliopsida; Poales; Poaceae. The record is from RNAcentral.
UUGAGUGAGCCACGACUACAUCUCAUGUUCAUAGUUAUCCCUACUGCAAAUUCAAGAAUCCAGCCCCCUUGAUCUUUUCACUUGCUAUUUAAAGAGCAACCAGGGGGGAGAAAGAAAGCAGGAGCCAACCCAGUAAUCCUUGCUUCGACCAUCAACCAUAGUGAGUAGCUUCAAUUAGCAGUAUUGCUUCCCCAAACCAUACCCUGGACGUGCCCAGUUCCACUGAUCAAGCCACCGCGUGUGUCUGGUGACCACCUCGCCAACACAUCAACCUCACGUGGCCAGGCGGUUACGGUAUGGCUCCACCCUUACGAAUUUGUGUUCUUGCAUCUCUAUAGAUUGGUGAAGCUCAUCAAGAAGCUCGUUUGAUCUUUGUGGUCCUAAUUUGGUCGGAACAUGAGUUUGACGCUGCGUGAACUGCCGUGGUGUUGACCCACUCAAAAUUCAGUUGGUCCGAGGACAAUUCUUGUGAGCGUCGUGUUGCCCAUGUCUCGCUUGUGCUCCCCGUGCCCUUAAUUUGAUUUGUCCGGUACUCAAAUCAGCCGGGUAGGUACCGCGGAGCUAGGAUUCCACCGUGGGCGCGGUCCGGCCCCUCUGUGAGUUUGUGAGCCAAAUCCAUGCCCAUAGCUGCUCGAAUUAGGUUAAGAUUUGAUUCUGGUCGCUAUCCAAUGACUGCCCAGGCUCUCCUCCGUCGUAGUGUCGCGGGAAGAACUCGUCUGCGCCGCCGGACGAUGUCAGGGACUCAAUUUUGAAAGACAAGGAGCUUAGAAGGGGCUGGAAGUAAAGUGUCAGUGACUCACGGAAUUUGGUUGAAGACUUCAUUUCUAAUAUUGGCUCUAGCGAGGACCUUUGUGAAAAAGCUACUGCGCUGCCGCGGGCGCCCCCCAAAUUCCGCCUAGACCUGGGCUGGUUGGGCCAGUUUUGGCCCAACACUAUUAGUAGUUUUUCGUUUUCUUUUUCCGAGAAGCUUUAGAAAUCCGUAAGAAACUCUAGAAAAAUGCUAAAAAUAUGAGGCCAAUUUUAUUAGGCUCCUAAAUUUCUAUAGUAUUUAAUAAAAAUAGUCUUAGGAUUUUUAGUCCAAACAAGGAAUUAUCUAGUGUUUAAACAGGCUUAAACCUAUACCUCUGGAAUUUUAGAAAUUAUUUAGUAACUCCAAAAAUCACCAAACUUUUUGGAUAAGCUUUAAAUGAUAUUUAGAAACCUUGGGUGAUGUUAGAUAUGAUUUGGACAGUGUUUUAUACUUAAACCCCAAAACCCUAAACUUCUAAGUAGUGUCUGCGCUAUGAACUAAAAUACUGACUCCACAAACCCUAGUGAAGGAAAAUUGUAUUUAAGAAACUAAUAUGAUGUACUUUUAUUAUUGCAUUUUCAUAAGCAUUACAUGAGCAUUCAUGAUUAUAUAUGGUUCUAUAUAGAAAACGAAGAAGAAGUAGAGGUUGAAGAAGGAAGAGCUACACCACCACUUGAAGACCACCUGUCGGGAACUGCUUUUAUUUUGAUAUUUGUGGAGCAGAGCCCGACUCUCCUAUAACACAAGGCAAGCCCCAGUGCAUUUGCCACCUCCUUGCUAUUUUAAAAUCUUUCUCACUUGCUUGAUGCAUUAGGUGAUAGGAGUUGUGUGCUAAACAAAUUGAUGCAUUUCCUUUCUUGGAAGAUUGACUACUUUUCCUUCAUCACCUAUUUUAUGAAAAGGUUUUUCUGGUGCUUAGUCUUGCUCUAGAAAAACAAAAUGUUUUGUUUUCAACAAAAGAUGAUGCUUCAAGUGGGAUGGGAUGAUUUUCAAAAAAAAUAAAACUUGAUGGUGGAUCCAUCAUGGCCAUGAUGGGUUCAACAUCGGAAAAGAUGUACCUCUGUUAGGUAUCAACUUUGGGUUGAAAUGAUAAAGCCAAGACCGGGCGGGUGACUUGCACGAGAAGAGAGUCUCGGUGUAGUGUCUCCGUCUGAGUCGAUUAAGGACCGUCUCAAUGUAGGCUUGAUGAUCGAGGACCUUUUAACUGGUCACAUGCCUCAUCAUGGGUAAGCUUUGCCUCAGACAGACUAAUACCAGAAUAAGAUAACACGCAAUGGGAGUGGAAAGAUGGCGAGAGUAGCGUGUACCCUCCGUGGCAAGAGACUGGACGAUGGUGUAUCUGUGCUCUCGGUUGGCGUGAACCUGAUCUGGUCUUAAGAACCCCUGUGGCGAGUUGACAUAUGCAAGGGUUAAGUGCUACAUAUGUCGUGUGAUUUGAGAUCCCCAGCUGGGUAUUAAUCGAUUCAGAUCGUCGUUACUUCUCGGACAUGAAGACUUGGUCACUGACUUACACGUAGCAUUCCAGUGAACAAGAAGGGUUGAUAAAAAGAUGGCUAGUUUAGACCAAGUGCUUGAACUAGGGUAGAAAGAACUCUAGAUUCAGGUAAUGACUUAACUUGCUAAUAAAACUGGAUUUUUUUAAGGAUCCACUAUUAGUAAGCAUUUUUGCAAACAGAGUCUUGAUUCUUGAUUAAGCCUUACCUUGAAUCCCUCAAGCCAGCAUAUCCUUGAGAGUCUUUUAUUUUGACGGGUAAGACUUGCGAAAGUACACUUCGUACUCAGGGUUUUCAAACCCAUGUUGUUGUAGGUGAGGAAGCAGCAAACUUUUGUUGCUUCUGCUCUAAGGUGGUGCCGAAAGAAGAAGCUCAAGAGUGAAGCCUCGGGAGGAUGUCGUCCUCCCUUUAAAAACACUGUACUAUUAAGCGGGAGGGGUUUUUACCUCCCGGGUUUGUAAUAAUAUUACUCUUGCACUCCUAUAUUACUG